AGUCAACCUGUGCUUUGAAGCUUUGAAGCCAGGCAUUGACUUCUCUCUGGCUAUGAAAGUCCUAGAUGGCAU
Chlorocebus sabaeus (green monkey) is the source of this 72-nucleotide microRNA precursor. The record is from Ensembl. Lineage: Eukaryota; Metazoa; Chordata; Mammalia; Primates; Cercopithecidae.